GACGAACCGUGCAAACGUUAUUCGGAAUCACUGGGCAUAAAGGGCGCGUAGGCGGCUCCAAAAGUCAGGGGUGAAAUCCGGCAGCUUAACUGUCGCAGUGCCUUUGAUACUGUGGAGCUAGGGGGAGGUAGGGGUCUGUGGAACUUCCGGUGGAGCGGUGAAAUGCGUUGAUAUCGGAAGGAACGCCGGUGGCGAAAGCGACGGACUGGAUCUCUUCUGACGCUGAGGCGCGAAAGCCAGGGGAGCAAACGGG
This 253-nucleotide ribosomal RNA is filed under the name uncultured bacterium. RNAcentral's name for it is "partial 16S ribosomal RNA". It matches the Rfam family "Bacterial small subunit ribosomal RNA", at positions 524 to 776 of the family's 1533-position model. The record is from RNAcentral.